Molecule: long non-coding RNA, 760 nt
Organism: Malus domestica (apple)
Lineage: Eukaryota; Viridiplantae; Streptophyta; Magnoliopsida; Rosales; Rosaceae
Source: RefSeq, a predicted model, not a curated record
AGUUUCAGUCUCUCACUCUCUCAUUCCCACGCCCACCUCUCCACUGUCACUCCAUCGACUCCCUCGACUCCGACGACAUCCCGGAGAACUCCCAUCACCACCGCCGCGACCAACACAACGACUCCACCACCACCCAUCCAGCCAUCCUUCGACCUCGACGACAUCCGUUACUUCGCCGGCUACUGGGCUGGGAAUGUGCAAAUGUGAAUGAGUGAAUCUGCUAGGGCUAGGACAGAAUUUGAAUAUGUGCAAAUGUUACACAUUUCUCCUUUGGUGUAGGGUUCUAGCAUCGGUUGUUUAUCAUGCUAAGGCACUUCCCCAUUGAGUCAAGAGGACGUCAAAAAAAGCUAGAGGAGAAUAUAAAAGAAGAAAAGCAAAUGCUAAUGUUAUAUCUACAAGCUCAACCAUCCCAUCAAGUGAUGCUGAAAUUGAAGCUCCUCAUCAAACAACUCAAAUGAAUAAAGGAAAAGGAAUUGCGAUUCAAUGAGGAAUGAUGUUGGAACUUGGAUGUUGGAAUUGGAUGUGGUUUCCUAUGUUCAUUUGGAAUUUAUUGAAAAUGUCAUGUUUAUGUUGUUUUGAAUUAUUUGAUUUUUGGACUUUGGAAUUUGGAUGUCUUGGACUCUCGGUUUUGAAUAUUUUGUAUGUUGAUUCGAUCUUUAGAUGUUGGACGCUAUAACGUUAUUUUGGAUGUAUUGAAUAUGUGCAAUUGUAAUUUGCACAGAUUGCAAAUUUGUGCAAUUGCAAUCUGUGCAGUACUGUA